RNAcentral lists this ribosomal RNA (566 nucleotides) under Streptococcus thermophilus. RNAcentral's name for it is "bacterial SSU rRNA". It matches the Rfam family "Bacterial small subunit ribosomal RNA", at positions 335 to 873 of the family's 1533-position model. Lineage: Bacteria; Bacillati; Bacillota; Bacilli; Lactobacillales; Streptococcaceae. The record is from RNAcentral.
UCCCUACGGGGAUGCAGCAGUAGGGAAUCUUCGGCAAUGGGGGCAACCCUGACCGAGCAACGCCGCGUGAGUGAAGAAGGUUUUCGGAUCGUAAAGCUCUGUUGUAAGUCAAGAACGGGUGUGAGAGUGGAAAGUUCACACUGUGACGGUAGCUUACCAGAAAGGGACGGCUAACUACGUGCCAGCAGCCGCGGUAAUACGUAGGUCCCGAGCGUUGUCCGGAUUUAUUGGGCGUAAAGCGAGCGCAGGCGGUUUGAUAAGUCUGAAGUUAAAGGCUGUGGCUCAACCAUAGUUCGCUUUGGAAACUGUCAAACUUGAGUGCAGAAGGGGAGAGUGGAAUUCCAUGUGUAGCGGUGAAAUGCGUAGAUAUAUGGAGGAACACCGGUGGCGAAAGCGGCUCUCUGGUCUGUAACUGACGCUGAGGCUCGAAAGCGUGGGGAGCGAACAGGAUUAGAUACCCUGGUAGUCCACGCCGUAAACGAUGAGUGCUAGGUGUUGGAUCCUUUCCGGGAUUCAGUGCCGCAGCUAACGCAUUAAGCACUCCGCCUGGGAGUCGCCCCCCCCCG